RNAcentral lists this long non-coding RNA (277 nucleotides) under Brassica rapa (field mustard). RNAcentral's name for it is "long non-coding RNA (BRAP_LNC003483)". The record is from RNAcentral. Lineage: Eukaryota; Viridiplantae; Streptophyta; Magnoliopsida; Brassicales; Brassicaceae.
GUUGUAGUAAAGCAUUUUGUUGUAUACCUUUUUCUCGGGACAUGCAUUCAUAUAUAUGUUCAGAUUCAGUUAAUCUAUUUAGAUUUUGGAUUUUAAGAGUUAGAAAUUUAAAUCGUAUUCGGAUAUUUACAAAUUUUGGUUUGGAUUUGGUUCGAAUCAUUGCGGAUUCAGUUUGAAUUCGAGUUCGAGUAUCCAUUUUAAUUAUGUAUUUUUUAACAAAAAUUCAAAUAUACUUAAAUUCUCAAUAUCUGAAAAUAAAAUAAUAUAAAACUUAAAA